RNAcentral lists this microRNA precursor (63 nucleotides) under Guillardia theta CCMP2712. Its description in RNAcentral is "microRNA mir-598". Lineage: Eukaryota; Cryptophyceae; Pyrenomonadales; Geminigeraceae. The record is from RNAcentral.
UUGUGAUGAUGAUGAUGAUGAUGAUGAUCAUCAUGAUGAUGAUCAUCAUCAUCAUGAUAAUGA